Molecule: ribosomal RNA, 246 nt
Filed under: uncultured Lactobacillus sp.
Lineage: Bacteria; Bacillati; Bacillota; Bacilli; Lactobacillales; Lactobacillaceae
Description: partial 16S ribosomal RNA
Rfam family: Bacterial small subunit ribosomal RNA
Source: RNAcentral
CGUGGGUAACCUGCCCAAGAGAUCGGGAUAACACCUGGAAACAGAUGCUAAUACCGGAUAACAACAGAUGAUGCCUAUCAACUGUUUAAAAGAUGGUUCUGCUAUCACUCUUGGAUGGACCUGCGGUGCAUUAGCUAGUUGGUAGGGUAACGGCCUACCAAGGCGGUGAUGCAUAGCCGAGUUGAGAGACUGAUCGGCCACAUUGGGACUGAGACACGGCCCAAACUCCUACGGGAGGCAGCAGCA